RNAcentral lists this ribosomal RNA (253 nucleotides) under uncultured bacterium. RNAcentral's name for it is "partial 16S ribosomal RNA". It matches the Rfam family "Bacterial small subunit ribosomal RNA", at positions 524 to 776 of the family's 1533-position model. The record is from RNAcentral.
GACGUAGGGUGCAAGCGUUGUCCGGAAUUAUUGGGCGUAAAGAGUUCGUAGGCGGUUUGUCGCGUCUGCCGUGAAAGUCCGGGGCUCAACUCCGGAUCUGCGGUGGGUACGGGCAGACUAGAGUGAUGUAGGGGAGACUGGAAUUCCUGGUGUAGCGGUGAAAUGCGCAGAUAUCAGGAGGAACACCGAUGGCGAAGGCAGGUCUCUGGGCAUUAACUGACGCUGAGGAGCGAAAGCGUGGGGAGCGAACAGG